Molecule: long non-coding RNA, 645 nt
Organism: Beta vulgaris subsp. vulgaris (sugar beet)
Lineage: Eukaryota; Viridiplantae; Streptophyta; Magnoliopsida; Caryophyllales; Amaranthaceae
Exons: 2
Source: RefSeq, a predicted model, not a curated record
AAUAACAAAACAAAAGAACGACAUUCAUAACGGUGCUUCACCACCGUUCAACAUCUUCACCAUCUUCACCAUCUUCUUCUCUCAAAAUCUUUAUCAUUCUUCCUUCAUCACACAACCACCACCGUUGCCGACGACACAACCACAACCACCACUAGAGGUGACACUAUAAAAGUAGGCGGCGCAAGGGAGAGCAAAGGGGGUCGUCGUGCUGUAAUUUGGAGCAUUUAGUGCUUGAAUUAGGGGCGUUUGCAAGUUAUUUUUCAUCCCCAAUCUUCUAUAUUAGUGGAUUUCGGUUUUAUUGAGGAGCCGUAUUGACUGAGCUAGUUGGUUUGAUAUAGUUUAAAAGGUUCAUGAAGGCUUAGAGUCGGGGUAUGGGCGGAGAGCAACGUCCACUAGUUUUGCGUAAAUAUAGUUAUAAUAGUUCUGUUCUGGUGCAUUUCUUAUAUAUAAUCAAUAUUUUGAGACUUAGGGUUGUAAAUAUUAAUCCACCUAAAUCUUUAUUCGGUUGGGUUGUAAUAGUUUAAAAUAAGCUUUAAUUUAGUUUUGGUGCAGGUAGUUCUUCCUUAGCGAUUAUUCUCGUAAUAAUCGUGCAAUAACACGUUUGGAUUUCGAGUAGUUAUACAGGAAUUUCGUUGGUAUUUGAAA